Molecule: long non-coding RNA, 892 nt
Filed under: Aotus nancymaae (Ma's night monkey)
Lineage: Eukaryota; Metazoa; Chordata; Mammalia; Primates; Aotidae
Description: lncRNA (ENSANAG00000038538.1)
Source: RNAcentral
GAUCUACUCAGUGGUGGUGAUGCUGCCAAUGCUGCCUGGGGAAGAUGAGCCGCUGGAUGUGGCCCAGGUGACCAGCUACCUGGUGGAGGAGAAGCUGCUGCGGCCACUCUGAGAGCUGUCCGGGGCCAACGUGCUGGCUCAGACACCACCUGCUGCAGGGUCCCUGGGAGUAUCAUGCCCUAAUGGCUGGGUCCCAGCACGUGGUGACCUUCGACAGCCGGAUGUGGGACCUCAGUGCCCAGUGUGGCAGCGUCCUGCUGGCCCAAGCCUUUGCUCACAACACAGUCUCCCUGAUGCUGAGUCGGACGGACUCGGGGCUCACAGCCCUGACCAUGGAGCUGAAUCACAUGACCCUCAUCUUCUACCCCAGCCUGCAGGUGAGGAGAAGAGGCCUGAACUUCCCCUAGAGACCUGUGCCUGUGGCAGCUCACCUGGGGGAAUGGCCCUUUCAAGCUUGUCCCCUGGCUGUGGGUCAGCCCUCCUGCCCACCCGCUCUGGCCCACAGGCCUACAGGCUAUACAACUCCUCCCUGCUGGGGGAGAGCUGUCCAGACCUCCAGCUGCCUCCUGCCACAACAAAGAGGGACAUCCCCAGGAUUGAGCUGGCCAGUGAGGAAGGGGUCUCCAUCUCCUGUGACAUGCCCACCGGCCUCUGCAGCCUGACUCUGGGCCUCUGGCACCAUGGUCCCCUGUGGGAGGAUCACAGGCUCUUAGGAGCUCCUCAGCUUCCCUCCUCCCCUACAUGCAUAUCCGCAGGCCUUCUGGGCACCAACGACAAUGAAGCAGGCAAUGAGCUGAUGUUGCCAGAUGGCUCUGUGGCCCACAGCCUGGAGGAGCUCAGCCUGGCCUGGCAGGUGGAUGGUGACUGCAGGGCCACUGAGAAGACUCAGUAG